Molecule: long non-coding RNA, 2496 nt
Organism: Papaver somniferum (opium poppy)
Lineage: Eukaryota; Viridiplantae; Streptophyta; Magnoliopsida; Ranunculales; Papaveraceae
Exons: 6
Source: RefSeq, a predicted model, not a curated record
GGCCUUCCCGCUUUCCUCUUCAGAUUCUCUCUCCUUCUAAUUCUUUUCUGCUAAAAUUCCCAGUUUCUUCUUUCUCUCUCGAGAAUCUCCUUUGAAGAAUCAGGUGGAACUGCAUCUAAUGUUGUCGUUCCGGUUUCUGAUGACGGUUGAAGUAUAUACUGCACAAAUUGUUGCGUGUACUUGGUUCCGUGGUCAUGGGACUGUUGAAUUAGUGUGCUGAGUUCAGAAUUUGACAGGUAUGAUAUUGUUGAAGGAGUGCACCCUUUAUAGAAUGGUGUAUCAAAACCCCACAGAGAAACCAUCAGAGCCUUUUUGGCUUAUUUCGAAAAUCAGAUGACACAUUACACAGAUCCUCCGGCGGGCAAGUGAAUUGUUUGGUUUCAGCAGAAGGAUGCUGUCAGGUGGGUUCUACAUGAUUGAGGAUUUGAUAUGGAUGAGGAUCCCGCUGCAAUUGAAGGUCGAAAGGCGCAAAUAUCUAUUUGAAGGUGUAAAGGUUCAUUGUUUUCUUUGAAGAAAUGAUUGGGAACCAUUCAUAUGGAAGCUGUAAUUGCUAACUGGAUGGUAAAAAUAUUAAAGCCUCUGUAAGUGGUGUGGGAGCAUGCUAUUCUUCUUUCUGACUGGCUUGCUGGCCCUUUGAUAAAAGAAACUUCAAGACUUGCUGAGGACCAUGCAAGGUAAGAAAGUAGAAUUUAGCAGCCAGUACCUUUUUUCUAAGGGGUAACUCUACCCAAAAACUGUUGAUGAAGCCACAAGAAGAGUGGAUCCCACGCUGUGUUAUAACUUGUAACUUGUAAGUCAUCCCAAGAAAUUCAAGUAUAAAGAAAGACAAAUCUGAUGCAUGGAAUCCCUUGAUUUCUUAACUUCAAAUUUCAGUUCAAAACUUUCUGGUUGGAGGCAACAUAUUCUGUCAUCUGCUGGUAGAACUGUGCUGUAAAAGUCAGUUUUAUCUUCUAUUGCAACACUCUCAAUGGUUGCAUGUAUUCUUCUAAAAGGUGUUUUCAACAUAUAACGAAGAUACAAAGGUCAUUCUGGUGCGGAUAUGACACAUCACACAUAAAGCUUUACUUCGUAUCACGGAGGAAGAUUUGCAAGUCAAAGAUGGAUGGGGAAUAGAGAUAUGGAGUGGGUUAAACUACCUGGAGAUUCCUUACAAAGCCAAAUGCAAUGUGGGUUGAAAUUCCAAAGGCUAGAUAUCUGAAAAAUUCAGAUUUCUGGACUAAAGAAUUCACUACUGGUUGUUCAUCAACAUGGAGUGGCAUAAUUUCAGUUAGACCAAUACUAGCAGAUAACUGCUGCUGGCUAGUUGGAAAUGGCUCUUCUAUCAGAAUAUGGGAAGACCCAUGGAUUCCAGGUUUCAAACCUUCCAUAGCAUGUUUCUGAAUUGUUGUCUCUGCAACAACUAACACAGGUUUGGAAUGUUCUUCACUCACUAUUCUCUCCAACUGAGGCUACUGCUACCAGUUCCAUCCACAUUAUGGGAGACAAUGAACUGAAAGGCUUGAUUAAAAACACCCACAGGUAACUCUACCGCAAAUUCUUGUUAUAAGUUAUUGGCUGGUAAUAUACCUUCAUGCUCUAGUUUGCCUAGAAAUUAUUUUGGAGAAAUAAGCAAAUGUCUCCUAGAAGUCAGACCUUUGCGUGACAACUUUUACAUAACGGCAUUGGUGUGAGGUAUAACAUACAUCGUUUCAUAAACAAAUGUAAGCCUGAAUGUGUUCUACGUAAGUCAGCUCUAGAAUGAUUCAGUGGGUCAUUUAUUCUUUGAAUCUGCUUACUUUAGAAAAGUGUUUGAAGACUCCACCCAUAAUCUGGUUAUUUCACUGAGCAAUAAGCAAGAGACCCUUUAUUUAGAAUUGGUUACAUCAUGAUGAUAAUUUCAAAACUUUCAAUAUUGGUGCUUGCAUUCCGUGGAAAUUUGGGAAUUGAGGAACAGAAUGUUAUUUGAGCAGCAAGAAUUCUCUGGUACCGCAAUUCCGUCACAAGCUUAUGAAGAUUGGUCUUGAUUUCAAACUGCACAGCGAAGAGUCAAUGCACUACGCUUGGCCAUCUACCUUCUCGUUUGCGCACUUCAAGUCUUCAGCAUCUGAAACUCCUACAAAUCAAAGACAAUGGGUUCCUCCUACUUCACACAUAAAGAUUAAUGUGGAUGCUGCCUUCGGAAACACAGAUGGGGUUGCUGCUGCAAUUGCUAGAGAUUCUAACGGAAACAUCUAGGAAGCCUGACCAAAAUCUUUUAUGCUUCUUCUGCUCUUAUGGAAAGCUUUGACUUACUUGCUGGGCUUGGAAAACAUAAAUGUAUCUAAUUGGUGGCAAGACGAGAAUGUAUCUAAUUGGUGGCAAGACAAGAGAGUGAUCAGGAUUAUGAGCUGGCUCUUGUGUCCACCAGUUGAGUUGGUCUGACAGGUAGUUGUGAUUGUAGUUGUACCAGCCGAACCGAAACAAUUAAGCAAGCAAAAAGAACUAAAGUCUUAAACUGCAAGAGUUUAUUUUGACAGG